AUCAACUUUCGAUUGGUAGGAUAGAGGCCUACCAUGGUGGUAACGGGUAACGGGGUGUUAGGGCACGACACCGGAGAGGGAGCCUGAGAAACGGCUACCACAUCCAAGGAUGGCAGCAGGCGCGCAAAUUACCCAAUCCCGACACGGGGAGGUAGUGACAAUAAAUAACAAUACGGGGUUCUUUAGGAUCUCGUAAUUGGAAUGAGUACAAUUUAAAUCUCUUAACGAGGAACAAUUGGAGGGCAAGUCUGGUGCCAGCAGCCGCGGUAAUUCCAGCUCCAAUAGCGUAUAUUAAAGUUGUUGCAGUUAAAAAGCUCGUAGUUGAAUUUCGGGGUUAGUAGGUUGGUCAUGCCUCUGGUAUGUACUGAUCUCACUGAUUCCUCCUUCCUUAUGAACCGUAAUGCCAUUAAUUUGGUGUUGCGGGGAAUUUGGACUGUUACUUUGAAAAAAUUAGAGUGUUUAAAGCAGGCUAACGCUUGAAUACAUUAGCAUGGAAUAAUGAAAUAGGACGUUCGAUCUUAUUUUGUUGGUUUCUAGGAUUGACGUAAUGAUCAAUAGGGAUAGUUGGGGGCAUUAGUAUUCAAUUGUCAGAGGUGAAAUUCUUGGAUUUAUUGAAGACUAACUACUGCGAAAGCAUUUGCCAAGGAUGUUUUCAUUAAUCAAGAACGAAAGUUAGGGGAUCGAAGACGAUCAGAUACCGUCGUAGUCUUAACCAUAAACUAUGCCGACUAGGGAUCGGAUGAUGUUAAUUUUUUAAUGACUCAUUCGGCGCCUUACGGGAAACCAAAGUGUUUGGGUUC
RNAcentral lists this ribosomal RNA (800 nucleotides) under uncultured Glomus. RNAcentral's name for it is "SSU rRNA". It matches the Rfam family "Eukaryotic small subunit ribosomal RNA", at positions 314 to 1114 of the family's 1831-position model. Lineage: Eukaryota; Fungi; Glomeromycota; Glomeromycetes; Glomerales; Glomeraceae. The record is from RNAcentral.